CGAAUGGGUCCAAAGACUCUUAAAACCUACCGUGCUCCCCUACGUGGAACAUCAGAAAGCCCUCCGGGGCAUAGGAAAUCUGAGAAGUUGAGAACUGCGCCUCGGCGCAUGACUAAACAAAAAAUUA
This 127-nucleotide unclassified non-coding RNA is filed under the name soil metagenome. RNAcentral describes it as "partial internal transcribed spacer 1". The record is from RNAcentral.